UGUGUUCAGCGAUGUCAUCCAUGAACCUGCAAAUUAUUGUGGAAGCUUUGAUGAUCUUAGGGUCAUUGGUUGCCCAUUCAAAUGUCUCUGGAGUUAUAACAUCUCCCAUGCCCACAAAAGCUGUAAUAGCAAGCAUGCCAUAGCCCGAGGUUGGCAAUGCAUUAUCCCUAAACUCCUCAAAUGUUGGUUUGUAAUUUUGAUGAGUCCAUUUGGCUUCUAAAAGGUAAGCUUGAGCAAGUCGUAUCAUCUGCACCAGCAUCAAAAUAUAACAAUUAAUACUAACUAACAUUUCAACUGUAUAACUUUAUCGAAAUAAAAUUGGAUGUUAAUUUAUGGAUGAUUAUAAAGUAUUUUAUAUAUCCAAGUUAACUGUCAAUCUACUUACCGCCUUCUUUGCAUAUUCGACACGGUAUUGUCUCCCUUGCUUUGCUGUUAGUUGCUCCAUUUCUUCAUAAACAUCUAAUAGUGCCUUAUAGCUUAUUUUCAUGAAUUCUGGGAGCUCAUCCAUACAUUUAAUAUCCCACCUGAAACCCAUUUCCGAGGCUAAAUGUUUAAUAUCCAAUCAUUGAUCAUGUAUAUAUUUCAAAAUAAAUGUACAUUCACAAUUUCAACAAAACUAACCUCUCGAUUGCAUUUGUAUAGGGAAUGAGCUCAUCAUAUGUUGCAUAUGAGUCAUACGUAUCAUCUACGAUGGAUGCCAUGGCAAUUACUUUUGUCAUCAUCUUUCUACCAAGAGAGUAUUGUGGCUCAAAGUACACUCCCAUUAUCCAAAAGUAACCUUCAACCACUCUAUCUCUCGCAAAUGGUAACUUUUUUGUAAAGUCUAAAUCCUUCCACCACCUAUAAAAAAAAAAACAAACAACAGAUUUCAAACCCAUUACCACAACUUAAUCUUCAUUUCACUUAGUAGAGUGUUAGGAUUUUGAAGUCUAACAUUCAAACUCUUACCUACAAAUUUCACUUAGCUCUUUUCUAUGCAAAAGCUGUAACAAGUUGAAAUCUAUCUUUGCAAAUUCCAACAAUGCCUUACUAUGGGAUUCAGUAUCCUGGUAUAUAGAAAUGUAUCGCCUAGCCUCGACCCUUGGCAAGCCUCUUCGGAUGGACUGUUUUAAGGCAUGUGCAACUUGUUCCGACAAUGGAUACUCUAAAUUCGGUGCUGCAAGAGUUAGGUGAGUGGUGGUGAAAGAAAUUGCCUCAUCCAAUAUAUCUUCCCCAUGCACCCGCAUAUACGAAGCUUCAUAAAGCUCCAACAGUCCUCGCACAUCAGUGGUUAUGGAUGACAUGAAAUUUCCUUCCUCAUCUUUGAACUUAUCGAAUACCUCUGCUAAAACAAUACCCAAAAGUCAAUAUCAAAAACAUUGGUAGGCUCAAUCAUCUUAAAUAUAUUAAAAGUAUUAAGGAAUGCGUAAAGUAAAAACUAAAUUACCACAUGAAACAUUGAAGCCAUGCUCUCUAAGUAAUCGAAAUCGAAGAGAGGUGGUAUAGAGAUCAUUGUCGACAUCAUUGUUGUCAUGGUAUAUAGCUUCUAAUGCAUCUUCAAUCUCUUCCUCAAAAUGGUAAUACACACCCAACCUUUGGACUGCAUCAAUUAGGGGCAGUUUUUGGUUUGAACUAUCACCCAUGGGAGCCACAAGCAUCCGCCUAACUUCUUCUUUUAGUUCUUCAUAUCGGAGUUGAGUUGCAGUAUCAAUAUCCUGCUCAAAAAUGAAAAUUUCUUUUUAUUAAAUACAAUUUAUUUAAACAGUAUUAAGAUCAAUAAAAAAACAAUACAAAAUAUGUACCUUAUUAGGGCAAUUGAGGAAGAUAUCUCCCCAAAUGCCAGGGUGAAAAUCAGCCUUGGGGCGAUUUUCCAUGUUGCAGGGAAUGGAAGUAUGGGGUGAAGCAAGGAUUUGAGAAACUUGUGAAGCCAUGUAUUUCUCUUGUUGGAACCAAAUAGAUUGUUCAAAGUGCUAAUAAAUUUGUGUUCUUAAAUUAGCACAGAUAUUUGUGUGAGGCUAAGUAUGCAAUUGCAGCAGGUAUUUAUAGAUACCAGAUUACUCACUCAAGUCAAAGAAAGACAAUUUUGAAAAUUAAGGAAAAUUAUAAAAAAUUAAAAAGAAAGACAGAAAAAAAAAACAUGAGCAUAUGGUAUGUAGGAAAGUAAAUAAAAUGGAAAGGCCACUUUCUUACUUUUGUUGGUUUCUAUCUAUUUGUUCCAAGUUGAUGACUGCAAAUAUCUACUAAAUAUUUAAUUAAGAAAUGUGGUAGGCAAUAUAUUAUAUUUCCAUUUUGUUUACUUUGACAGAAUUGAAGUCAUCUAUGUAUUAGCAGACUCUUCGUGACCAACCAUUCUGUUUUAUUUAUUGUUGAAAUUUCGUAACAAACUACAGUAGCUUGUUGGUCAAGACUUUGAGGCAUCCUUCCAUGCAAAUCAGUUGAUUGUAUAAGGGAUAAUAUAAUUUUUUUCCAUAAACUUUGCAAUUAGGUCCGUUUUAAUACUUGAAUUGAUAUUUGGAUCCAUUGUGGUCUCUAAAUUUGAAUUCCGUUAAGAUUUAAUGACGUGACUACUAUUCUUGGAACAUGACUGAAUUGAUUGUUUGGACUAAUUGGACCAAGAACUAAUAGGUAUACUAGUCCAAACAAAGAUUUGAACUGAUUGAAUAAAAAAUUACUCCAAACCGGUAAAAAUUGAAAGCUAGGGUAAAAACCAGUAGUUGCACAAGUGAACCGGUUUAAUAAUUUUUUUUAAAAGUAUUUAUGAAUAUUUAUUGUUGGUUUAGUGGCUGAACCAAUCAAACCAAUUGAAUCAGGAACCAAUAGUUUUAAUUUUUAAGUGUUUAUGAAUAUUUGUAUAGUUUUUUAAUUUUUAAGUGAUGAUGUAAUACGAUCUCAAAGUACCACAUAUUAAAUUUUUAUCUUUUUAAAGUCUAUGGAUAACAAUAGAUUUAAUUGUCAAAUUUAGAGAUAAAAAAAAUUAUAUUAUCGCAUUAUAUAAAAAGGUGAGCAAAUAUUAUAUAUUUACUAGAUAUAUUGAUAUCCACUAAUUGAAUAAUUUUUUAAAGAUAAUUAUGGAUUAUUAAAAAUUUUGGAUUUAAUGAGAAAAAAAUAUUUUAAAAUAUUGUGAAAAGAGAAAAAAAUAUAUUUGUGCAAUUUGUGAAAAGUGGGUAGUAUGUUUUGGACUUGAGGAUUUUUCUAACAAGAUAAGGUGAGUUUUAUUUUAUUUAAAAAAACUAUAGUUAAAAUUUAUUAAAUUAUAUAUAUAUAUAUAUAGAUAUUUCAUUUAAUUAUACUAUUUUUAUUUGAAUUAUAUCUAAUUAACAUAUAACACCAAUUUCAUAAAUAAUUUUUAAUUAAUAGAGAAUUAAAAUACUAACAUAUUAUUAUAAACAAAAAUAAUAGAUAAAAGAUGGAUAUGAGAAUAUGAGAAUUUCUAUUGCAUUCUCUAUUUUUCAUCAUCUUUACAAAUAGCAUACUCCUCUCUUUGUAGACACUCAAAUUUUCCCGGGCCCAGAAAUAAGUCCAAAAACGAAGAUUUCAGUCUAGAAUUACAAAUAUAAUUUGGCCAGAUCGGAAUGGCCCAUUACUUAAAAAUAUUUAAGGUCCAUCUACAAGUUUGACUCAUAUGGAAAUAUAAUCUUCAAUGAUAUGCAAUAUUAGAUAUGAUUGCAAUCUUAGAUAUGAUACAAUCUUAGAUAUGAUAUACAAUCUUAGAAGAUAUGAUUUUGUAAUCUUAGAGAUUUAAUUUGUAGAUAUCCUUUAAUCUUAACCGUUGAUGUAAUUGAUCUGUACCGUUGGAUUUGGGGAGGCUUAACUAUAAAUAGAGGCCUCUCCCCUCAUUGUAAAACAACUUGACUUCACUUGAGUUUUGGGAAGCAAUAAGAAUUAUUGAGAGCAUUCACUCAAAUUUCUCUCCCUCUUGCGUUCUUAUUUUCUACGGUUUGUUCUUAUUUAUUCUUUGUUCAUAUUCGUUUUUAACCUUUUUUUAUUUAAUCCCUAUCUCCUUGAUUUUUUAAUUCUCUUUUAUAUUUUAUUUUUUUAAUAAUUUUAGUAUUAUAUCAAAUUAUUUUUUUAUUAAAUUCUAUAUUAUUCAUUGUUUUAAAAAAUAUAUUUCAUUUAAUUGAAAAAGUUUUUUUCUUAAAUAAGGCAAUGUUUGGUGUUUAGAAAUUCGGAAAAUAGUGCCCUAACAUGCUGGGUUGCGAUUUUUUCGUUUGACUAAAUAACCAAAUAUCCUUUUAAUAAAUUUUCAAAAUCAUGAGAUAAUUUUAGUUACAAGGAUUUAAAACAUCGUGUCCUAACAUGCUGGAUGUGAUGUUUGUAUACUUUCAGAACAAAGGAAUCUCAAGUUUCAACUUUAAAUUGUUCAAGUUUUAAAAUCUUUUCAAAUUUUCGACAUUAGGACAAUAAAUAAUAAAUUCGGUACCAAUUUUGGGCAUUACGAGGGUGCUAAUCCUUCCUUGUGCGUAACUGACUCCCGAACCUGUUUUCUUGCAUUUCGUAGACCAAAAUGUUUUAUAAAGGUGAUCCAAUCACACCUAAAAAGGUUGGUGGCGACUCCCAUUUCAUUUUUUCAAAAAGUCGAACCCCGUUUUUCAAACACCUCUUUUAAAAAUGGUUUCGACAGCUUGACGACUCCACUGGGGACCUAUAAAAGAGUCAAGCCGAAAAUUGAUUAUUUUCUGUCUUAAUGUCGGAAAUUUGGAAAAUUUUUAAAAUAUGUCAUUUUUACAUGUGUUAGUUGCAUAUGUUUGUUAUUGUUUACGCACACAUUGCAUUUGCAUGACCGUUGUGGUCACACCCUUAAGUGGGAGUGAGAAGCUAUGCUUUCGUGAGGUUUUCACCUCCGUAUGGGCUAGUGGAUUGCUUUCGGGAUACAUCUGUACCUAUGUCUUCGUGAGAUUUUCAUCUCCGCAUGGCCAUAGGGAAAUGUGUCCCCCUGAACCGAACUUGGUCCAUAUGAGCCUAUAAUUGGUGAGGAUCGAGGAAUCUGCUGGUUCAGGUACCCUUGCUUUAGAACUGAACUACAUAUAGUAAACUUUAAGUGCUUGCCCCAGGUAGUAUGAUGAUGACCUUUAGUGCCUACCUUUAUAAGUUCUUAUUUAUUAUAUUUUUUAUAUAUGUGACACUGACUUGUUUUUCUUAUUUUGCUAUCAUUUCAUGUCAUUUAUCAUUAAAAGGUGUCGAUUCAAGGUUCGAUUUCUGAGUUAGAAAGUUUUGUAAUGGGGAACGAAUAUCUUAAUAAAGUGGAGGACAACUCUUUCGUUUGUGCUUGGUCAGAGAAAACCCAAAUAGAAAAAGGAAAUAGUGUCAUCGAAGGAUACACAUCAGAAUUAUGGGAUUACACUCUCAUCAGUGUGAUGCAAAAUAACCUCCAAGAGUUAAAGGAAAUAUUGGAUUAAUGGAGUAACGAAGCCAAGCAGUUGUUCUACAACAGUUAUGGGGAAUUGCAGUAUUUGCUUGACAUGAAGAUAGAUGAACAAUUCAAGGUGAGCGUGGGGAGUAUUGAGGGACACUUCUACCAUUAUAGAUGAAGAUAGUCACCUCGUGGAUGGUAGGGGUAUAAGACAUACAAAAUUGAAUUGGAUGGAAAGAGUUUUGCUUAUGAUGGUAGAAAGGCUCACUUACUAUAAGACCGCUACCAAACAACAAGCUGGAAUUUACUGUGGUACUUUAGGAUGUUGUACCUAUCAGAAAUAAUGGAAAUGCAAGACCUAAUGACCGGGACAACCCAAAUGAGCAUGAAAGAAAGAGAUUAAAGAAGAUCGUAUCGUUUAAAGACUUUUAAAGUGGAGAUUAGCUAUGCUGCUAAGAUACUCAUGCAAGCAAUUCGAAAUGUUCUGUGGAGGCAGAAAUUUAAAGACUCUCAAGAAGCACUGAGGAUGUUUGAUAUCAUUUUAAGGCAGUAUGCUGCAAAGCUGGAAUGCCUACUUGUUCGCUAAUCUUUAUUUCAAGGUAAUCAGAGCAACUUCACAAAUAUUGGAGGAGGUGUCUUUGGCUGUAGAGCUUCCUUCAUAGGUGAAGCCGUAAUUCAAAUUCAAGAGAUAGCUGAUCAUUUACAAAUACUGGUAGAAAGGGCAAGCACAUUGAGCACCAAUAUGAGCUACAGUUCAAAUAGAGGUCGAGAGUUAGCUUUGUUAUUAGAUAGGGUUAAGACUCUGGGCCUACGAGCAAAAGUGUAUUUGUAAUCCGUUUUAUGAAAAGAUUUUUGUUCCUUAAAUAACGUUUUCUAAAAUAAAACUGAAUCGAGAUCGAUACCUUUUUGCAUUCAUGCAUUUACAUUACAUUACAUCAAAGAAAAGAAGGUGUUGAUUCAAAAUUCUAUUCCUAAAUAGAAUAGUUUGUCAUAAGGAAACAAAUUUCUUGAUAAAGUAGAUUAUAGUGCGGUCGUCUAAAUAUAGUCCAAGUAAACACGACGAGAGAAAGCUGGUAGUCCACGGAGGAAUACAUGAUGUAAUUGCCAGAGAUUCAAGCCAACAAAUGUUAUCCAAGAGCAUGAUGAGAGAAAGCCGGAAGUCCACGAAGGAAUACAUGACUUGAUUUAAUUGCCAAUAAAGAUUAUCCAAGAGCCGGCACUUUUUGAUAAGUAUCAUGAAGAUAAGCGAGCAAGAGAUCGAGGCUUAGAUUAAGCAGCAAGGAGCUAGCAAAGGUAUCUUUUGGAGAAUUUACAGGAUUCGACCAUGAAGAAAAGAUCAGCGUUUACUUGGACUAUGAAGGGCAAGAUCGCAUAUGUAAUCUACUUUCAUGUAAAGAAAUCUAUUUUCUAGAAAAGUUAUUCUAAUGGAAUUGAAUUAAAGAUCAAGAUCUCCUUUUCUUUUGCAUUCAUGCAUUUGCAUUGCAUCACAUCAAAUGCAUUUAAAUCCAUAAAAAGACCCUAAUUAGUUAAAGUUAUUAAAAAGAGAAAGAAAAAGGGAGAGAGAGAAGAGGGUCACGGCUGAGUGAAAAAGAAGUUGAAUGAAAAUUAACGACGUUCUCUUACAUAUCCUCGACUUUUGUGUCAGGAGGGAUAGCUUACCUGGAGAAGGAGAUGUUUGGAAAUGAAAAUCAUCCCAUCAAUGUCAUACAUGAGGAAGGGACUGAACAAAGAAACCUUGAGGGCAUUCGCCCUUACGAAUCGGGAAUUUCUUUAAACAAUUGGACUGCAGAAGAACUUCCUGCAAUCUUUAGGAAUUUUACGGAGUAAUAUUCAGAACACUCUUGUUGCUCUAAAGCCUAGGAGUAAUGAGAUUUCUUUUGAGAAGUGGGCUCAUGUUCAGACAUUUUUAUUUUUAAUAAAACAUACUUUUAUUUAUCCGAGUAAAUAUUAUUUCAUUCUGAUUCUUUUGACCUUUGACAUUCUUUAUAAAUUUUCAUUUCAUGUAAAUAGUCAUUUUUGAAUUCAUUUAUUCCUUGUAUAUUCUUUUGUGUGCCUAUCAUAGAUCCCUAGAUAUCAAUGACACGAGCAGCGAUACUACUGAUUCAGAGUUCCUUUUGAGUGCGAUAUGUGUUUAGAGGAAUCUCAGUACUUUGAAGGUGACAGAAAUUGUGACUUGUUUCUGAAUUUGUUGAAAAUGGUUUUUACCCCAUGAAGUGGUGGUAGGAAAUGUAGCCUUAGAGGAAGGAAAGAUUGUGAAAUUGGAAUUAGCUGAGGAGACAAGACAAGACCUUGUUGAGACUAUUAUGGGAAUUCAAAAAUGUGGUCCAAAAACGCAUGCAGGAGGAUUUGCAAUUGCCAGAAUAAACAUGAGGUUUUGGGGCACUGUUGGUCCACCAUGAAAAGGGAUCGCAUCAGUUGUACAAUGAAUGCCAAAUUUAAGGGAGUCAAGACUUAUGGGGCAUGUAUGUUAUGGGCCAGAGCUCGUCAAAAGUUUCAAGCUGACAAUGACUCACCUUUGUGGACGUCAACUACUCCAUUAGGAGGGGAGGUAGCUUCAUAUGCCAAUAUUACAAAGUCAAAAGUCAUCCAUUUCAAAAAAAAAGAUUAUAUAUAACUGCACAAUGCCAAAAGUUUGCAGUCUUUUCAAAGAUAAUGCUCCAUACCACAGUACAACAAAGGUUGCCAAAAGAAAAGAAAAGGAAAAAAAAUUACAGAAGAUGAUCGAGACUGGUAAAAAUUGGCAUAAGAAACUACCGCCUACUCUCUAUGCUUACGCUGGGGCAAACACCUUUAAUUCCAGUUGUUUCAAAGGUUCCAACCAUCAUCCUUGGAAUGGGUGCAUUGUUUGGCUUUCCUAAGCAGUCUGAUGUGUCGUCAAUAGCUGCGAUGGUUAGCUCCAAGUAAUGGCCAUUGAUCUCCAGCUAUAGGGCAUUAGGCCGUACAUAGCCUCUGAAGCUUAAAAUGAUAGAUUCUUUCUUCAAACCAAUUUCUGACAAAGUGGAUGACGAUAUCAUGAAGGAAGCUCUCUUAGACUUCUAUACAAGUUCAGGGAAGAGGAAACCUGAUCAAAUCAUUAUUUCCAGGGAUGGGGUUAGCGAGUCUCAAUUCAAUCAAGUUUUGAUCAAGUUAUUAAGUCUUGCAAGUUCCUUGACGAGAAGUAGAACCCUAAAGAUUGUGAUUAUUGUUGUACGAAAAACCAUCAUACCAAGUUUUUUCAGCAGGGAUCUCCUGACAAUGUGCUACAUGGUACUGUCAUUGACAACAAAGUAUGCCAUCCAAAGAACAAUGAUUUUUACCUUGGUACCCAUGCUGGAAUAAUUGGAAUCACGAGGUAGACCCACUAUCAUGUUCUCUUAGACCAAGCUCGGUUUUCGACUGAUGAUCUGCAAGAGUUUGUUCAUUCCCUAUCCUAUAUGUAUCAAAGAAGCACCACCGCCAUUUUUUUGUGGCUCCUAUUUGCUACGCUCAUUUGGCAGCUUCACAGUUGGGGGCAAUUUAUGAAGAUUAGGGAUGCUUUAGAAACAUCAUCGAGUCAUGGUGGGAUGUAUGCUCCGGGAGUAAUCUCUGUACCUCAGCUUUCCAAGUUGAAAGAUAAAGUCAGAACUUCAUUCUUGUCUGCUGAGAAUCAUUGAACCAUGUUUUUGUAGGGUUUGACAAACAACAGCCAGGACUGUUGCUGGGGAAAUCCCUUUCAUGGGUUUAUGAAUCAAGAUUUUUCCUCUAAGCUUUGAUGGAGUCAAGAAUUGAAUACCUCUAGUAAACUUAACUUGAAAGUAUUCAUCUUAAGCAAACGUACCAAGAAUGGAUGACACAGACUUAUGACAAAGAAGGUUCAUCCAAAAAGAUUUCAUAAAGGAAACCUUGUGCUGAAACAGAUCAUUCCCAUGCAAAAGGAUGCCAAAUUGGGAAGGGCCAUAUGUUGCGAAGAGGGCUUUCUCUAGAGGUGCACUGAUUUUGACAAGAAAUGGAUAGGAAGAAUUUAUCUAAUCCAGUGAAUUCGGACUGGGUCAAGGAGUAUUUUGUCUGAAGGAGAAGGGAAGCCAAGGUGAAAACCCGCAAAGGGCACUUUGGGACUUCUAUUUCAAAAAAAAAAUAGAGAAAAAGAAAAAAAGAAAAAUGGAGAGGCUAAAGUGAAAACCCGCAAAGGGCGCCUUGAGACCAAAGGGGUUUUGAGUUGAAAACCCGAAAGGGCAGCUCAAAUUUGGAAAGUCAUGCAGUAACUUUGCUAUUCCGGAUUCGACGAGAAGUGAAGUAUGUUACAUAUCGAGGCAUCAACGAAUUACUAUGGAUCUUUUAAACACAUGUUGAACUCAAGAAAGUCUUCAUGGAGCUGGUGUAUAGACGCUCAAGCGACGAUAUCUGGGGCAUCUGAUUUCUGUCCUAUUUACUAUCUUUGGAUUCUUUUUCUUCAAAGAUAUGUUCUCAGGAUAAUCUUUUUGCAUUCCUUCCAAUAAUUUGUCCAAAUCUAAUUAUCCUCAGGAUCCAUUUAUUUGUCUCCCAUUAUUCAUAAAGUAUGUUGCAUUGAAAUAAUGAUAGAUGAACUAAAAUAUCUUCACAAACGAAGUUUUGCAUAUUACUCUGGAAAUUUCUAGAUAAUACAAGAAACUGAAACAAAAUAAUUGUUUAAGGAAUUCUCAUAUGUAUGGGUUGGAGAUACUCGAGAGAUUUUCUUCUUCAAUCCAAAAGGUGGUUGGACGUUUUAAGCAAUAUUGAUCUUAAGAAAGGAUCAUUUCAUAAACAUUUUCAGUGGGUCGUAACAUUUGGGGAAUGGUAUGGUAAACCAAAUUGAUGGAAAAUAUUCGAGGCAUACGAGCAGAGUAUGAUUGAUAUGUCGAGAAAAACGAGGUGGAAAGCUCGAUAAAUGAAUAAGUGAUGACAUCCGAAAUAGGAGUUAUUUUCAUAAAUAUUUUGCAUCAUAAUAUGUCUAAUUAGGAGCAUGACAUCUUAAUUAUUUGGCAUAAGCAUAAAUUCCAGGAAAUCAAUUCUACAAGUGGAUUCCCCAGUGGACAAUGUAACAAGAUUGAUUGAAAAUUACAAAAUUCAUCGCCUUAAUCCCCUAAGCAGUAGGGUAACAGGUUAAAUUUGCAGAUCUUAUCUCCCUAAGCAGUAGUGGAGCAGAUCAAAGACUCGCCUUAAUCCCCUAAGCAGUAGGGUAACAGGUUCACAGAUCUUAUCUUCCUAAGCAGUAGUGGAGCAGAUCAAAGACUCGCCUUAACCCCCUAAGCAGUAGGGUAACAGGCUAAAAUUACAAAUCUUAUCUCCCUAAGCAGUAGCAGAACAGAUCAAAGACUCGCCUUAACCCCCUAAGCAGUAGGGUAAUAGGCUAAAAUUACAAAUCUUAUCUCCCUAAGCAGUAGCAGAACAGAUCAACGACGACUCUCCUUAAUCCCCUAAGUAGUAGGGUAACAGGUCAAAAUUGCAGAUUUUAUCUCCCUAAGCAGUAGUAGAGCAGAUCGAAGAUGCGCCUUAAACCCCUAAGCAGUAGGGUAACAGGUUAAAGUAUAGCAGAUCUGGCCUUCAGGUGUUCACGCUAAAGCAGAUCCAAGAUGAUUUGGCGUCUCUGUAUUGUCAGAGAACAAAUCGAAGAAACAGAUUUGGCAUCUCUAUAUUCGACAGAGAGCAGAUCGAAGACAUAGCUGAUUUGGCUUUCACAUGCUUACGAUGAAGCAAAUCUAAGAUGAUUUGGCAUCUCUGUAUUGUCAGAGAACAAAUCGAAGUUUGGCAUCUCCAUAUUCGACGGAGGGCAGACACAUAGCAGAUCUGGCCUUCAGAUGUUUAUACUGAAGCAAGAUCCAAGAUGGUUUGGCAUCCUUGUGCUUACAAGGAACAAAUCAAAGACAUAGCUGAUUUGGCUUUCACGUGUUUACGUUGAAGCAAGUCUAAGAUGAUUUGGCAUCUCUGUAUUGUCAGAGAACAAAUAGAAGUUUGGCGUCUUCAUAUUCGACAGAGGGCAGACACAUAGCAAAUCUGGCCUUCAGAUGUUUAUACUGAAGCAAGAUCCAAGGUGGUUUGGCAUCCUUGUGUUUACAAGGAACAAAUCGAAGACAUAGCUGAUUUGGCUUUCACGUGUUUACGUUGAAGCAAGUCUAAGAUGAUUUGGUAUCUCUGUAUUGUCAGAGAACAAAUCGAAGUUUGGCAUCUCCAUAUUCGACGGAGGGUAGACACAUAGCAGAUCUGACCUUCAGAUGUUUAUACUGAAGUAAGAUCCAAGAUGGUUUGGCAUCCUUGUGCUUACAAGGAACAAAUCGAAGACAUAGCUGAUUUGGCUUUCACGUGUUUACGUUGAAGAAAGUCUAAGAUGAUUUGGCAUCUCUGUAUUGUCAGAGAACAAGUCGAAGUUUGGAGUCUCCAUAUUCGACGGAGGACAGACAUAUAGCAGAUCUAACCUUCAGAUGAUUAGACUGAAGCAGAUCCAAGAUGGUUUGGUAUCCUUGUGCUUACAAGGAGCAAAUCAAAGACAUAGCUGAUUUGGCUUUCGCGUGUUUACGCUGAAGCAAAUCUAAGAUGAUUUGGCAUCUCUGUAUUGUCAAGGAACAAAUUGAAGAAGCAGAUUUGGCGUCUCUGUGUUCGAUGGAGAGCAGAUCGAAGAUAUCAACAUGACAAUCAUGAGUUUGCAAGAAGCAGAUUGAAGCUGUCAAGAGGCCAUUUAAAGAAGAUCAAGAACUCAAGACUCGGCAAGACCGGGCAAAAUUGGUCUUUUUAUAGUCUUUGCUCUAUUCCUGUUACACAACAAUGAGCAAAGAGGGGCAGCUGUAGACACUCAAUUUUGCUCGGGCCUAGAAAUAAGUCCAAAAACGAAGAUUUCAGUCCAGAAUUACAAAUAUAAUUUGGCCUGACUGGAAUAACCCAUUACUUGAAAAGAUUUAAGGUCCAUCUACAAGUUUGUCUCAUAUGGAAAUAUAAUCUUCAAUGAUAUGCAAUCUUAGAUGUGAUAUGCAAUCUUAGAUAUGAUACAAUCUUAGAUAUGAUUGCAAUCUUAGAUAUGAUUGCAAUCUUAGAUAUGAUACAAUCUUAGAUAUGAUACAAUCUUAGAUAUGAUUGCAAUAUUAGAAUAUGAUAUACAAUCUUAGAAGAUAUGAUUUUGUAAUCUUGGAGAUUUAAUUUGUAGAUAUCCUUUAAUCUUAACCGUUGAUGUAAUUGAUCUCUACCGUUGGAUUUGGGGAGGCUCAACUAUAAAUAGAGGCCUCUCCCUUCAUUGUAAAACAACUUGACUUCACUUGAGUUUUGGGAAGCAAUAAGAAUUCUUGAGAGCAUUCACUCAAAUUUCUCUCCCUCUUGCGUUCUUAUUUUCUACGGUUUGUUCUUAUUUAUUCUUUGUUCAUCUUCGUUUUCUACCUUUUUUUAUUUAAUCCCUAUCUCCUUGAUUUUUUUAUUUCUCUUUUAUAUUUUAUAUUUUUAAUAAUUUUAGUAUUAUAUCAAAUUAUUUUUUAUUAAAUUCUAUAUUAUUCAUUGUUUUAAAAAAUAUAUUUCAUUUAAUUGAAAAAGUUUUUUUCUUAAAUAAGGCAAUGUUUGGUGUUUAGAAAUUCAAAAAAUAGUGCCCUAACAUGCUGGGUUGCGAUUUUUUCGUUUGACUAAAUAACCAAAUAUCCUUUUAAUAAAUUUUCAAAAUCAUGAGAUAAUUUUAGUUACGAGGAUUUAAAACAUCGUUCCUAACAUGCUAGAUGUGAUGUUUGUAUACUUUCGGAACAAAGGAAUCUCAAGUUUCAACUUUAAAUUGUUCAAGUUUUAAAAUCUUUUCAAAUUUUCGACAUUAGGACAAUAAAUAAUCAAUUCGGUACCAAUUUUGGGCGUUACGAGGGUGCUAAUCCUUCCUUGUGCGUAACCAACUCCCGAACCUGUUUUCUUGCAUUUCGUAGACCAAAAUGUUUUAUAAAGGUGAUCCAAUCACACCUAAAAAGGUUGGUGGCGACUCCCAUUUCAUUUUUUCAAAAAGUCGAGCCUCGUUUUUCAAACUUCCCUUUAAAAAAUGGUUUCGACACUCUUUAUAUAUGGAGAUUAAACUCUUCAUAUUCUAAUACGUAAAUAGAAAAAGGGUUACGAGAAUGUGAAAGGUUUAAGGAAGAUUAAAAGUUAAAUGUUAAAGAAGAUGAAAAGUGGAAGAUUAAGGAAGAUGAAAGGUGAAAGGUUGAACAUCCACUUUAUAUCAUUUAUAACACUUCCCCUUGGAUGUCCAUUGUAUAAAGGAUAUGCCUCAUUAAAAAUCUUACUACAAAAAACCCUUUGGGACAAAAACCUAGUGAAGGAAAAAUAAUACAUAAUCCUUUGAUACAUAGUAUAUCACAACCAAAAAAAUGUACUAUGAAUUUACUCCCUCUUAUGUAAGCAUCAUUUCAAAUCUUUGACAACACAAUUCAAUUUUGAAAAUUAACUUCUAAAAUGUAGUAAUAGGGAGUGUCUUAGUAAAAAGAUUUGCCAAGUUCUCACUUGAACAAGUCUGUUGAACAUUUAUAUCUCCAUUCUUUUGUAGAUUAUUUGUGAAGAAAAUUUUUUUUAAUAUAUGUUUUGUUCUAUCACCUUUAAUAUUUCCUUCAUUAAGUUGUGCAAUGCAAGCUGUAUUAUCUUCAUAUAAGAUUGUUGGAGCUUAUUUUUCAGAGCAUAAACCACAAUCUUUUCGUAUAUGAUGAAUUAUAGACCUUAGCCACACACAUUCACGACUAGCCUCAUGGAUUGCAAAAAUCUCAACAUGAGAAAAAGUAGCAGCAAUUGUUUGUUUCAUAAAUCGCCAAGAAAUUGCAGUACCACAAUAUGUGAAAACACAACCAGUUUGUGAUCGAUCAUGUAAGGAUCAUAUAAGUACCCUGCAUCUGCAACAAAUUCUGUUUUGGGUAGGUUAGGGAAAAAUAAACGUAUAUCUAUUGUACCUUGAAGAUAACGAAAAACAUGUUUAAUCUCAUUCCAAUGUUUUCAGGUUGGACAAGAGCUAAGUCUUGCUAAUAAGUUGACAGAAAAUGAUAUAUCAGGUCAUAUAUGACUAGCAAAAUACAUCAAUGCACUAAUAUCACUAAAAUAUGGUACUUCAGGACCAAGAAAAUCUUUAUCUUUUCCCCAAGGAUGGAAAGUGUUUUUAUUUAUAUCAAGUGACCUAACAACCAUUGAAGUGCUCAACGAAUGUGCAUUAUGCAUGUAAAAUCUUCUUAGAAUUUUUUCUAUAUAUAUUAUUUGAUGCACCAGAAUUUUAUUCUUUAGGUGUUCAAUUUGUAACCCUAGCCAAAAUCUUGUCUUUCCAAGGACUUUUAUUUCAAAUUCUUUCUUUAAGCACUCCAUUGUCACUAAAAUCUUUUCAAGAGUCCCAAUGAUAUUUAAAUCAUUAACAUACAAAAUAAUUAUAACAAAUCCUGAUUUGAACCUCUUUAUAAAAAUGUAUGAGGUAAUGGGAUCAUUCUUAUAACAUUCCCUCAAUAAAUACUCACUAAGGCGAUUAUACCACAUGCGCCCAAAUUGUUUCAAUCCAUAAAGGAAUCUGUUGAAUUUGAUUGAGUUAUGUUCUCGAGAACAUGAAUUAGCUACUUUUGGCAGUUUAAAACCUUAUGGGAGUUUAGUGUAAAUGUUAUUAUCAAGUGGGUCAUAUAAAUAGGUUGUAACUACAUCCAUUAGGUGUAAAUCAAGCCCUUCUCUUCUUUCUAGACUAACCAAGAAUCUAAAAGUAGCUGCAUCCACCACAGGAGAGUAUGUCUCUUCAUAAUCAAUACCAGGUCUUUGUGAAAAUCCUUGUGCAACCAAACGCGUUUUAUAACUCACAAUUUCUCCCUUUUCAUUUCUCUUUCUCACAAAAACCCAUUUAUCUUCACAAGAGAUUUUAACUCCGCCUCAAUUGAUUUUUUCGAUUGUGGCCAAUCAUCUCUUUGUCUACAUUCUUCAAUUGACAUUGGUUCAUGAUCCACAUUGUCAUUCAAAAUAUCUAGUGCUACAUUACAUGCAAAUAUGUCAUCAACGUCAAUUUGAUUUCGGUUCCACUUAAUUCUUUACAUGACAUAAUAUGUUGAGAUCUCUUCAUUAUCAAGCACCUGAGAUUUUUUUUGAACUUUAGUCAUGUCUAAAAUCUCUUCUGGCGAUCCUUUUAAAGUCAUUGCUUCCUCGAUCUGACCAUCAUAUGUUUUUUCUCAUUUUCUUUUUCGAGGAUUCUUAUUUUUAAAACCGAUUGGUCUACCACGUUUCAAAUGUGUUUUAGACUCAUUAGCAACUAGAGUUUGUCCUUCACGGACAUAAAUUUUGAUUGGAGCAUUUACAGCUGGUAUGUGUGAUUUUGUCACUUUUUUUGGAUCAGUAAAUGUUCCUGACAAUUGAUUUGCUAAACUUUGUAAAUGAAUUAUCCUCUGAACCUCUAGUUCACAUUGUUGUGUAUGAGGAUCAAGAUGAGACAAUGAUAAUUCAUGCCAAUCUAUUUAUUUUUCCAACUAUUUAUUUUCUCCCCCUAACGUUGGAAAAAUUGACUCAUUAAAAUGACAAUCAACAAAUCGAGCUGUAAAUAAAUUCUCUGUUGAUGGCUCAAGAUAUUUAAUUAUUGAUGGGGAUUCAUAUCCAACAUAUAUUCCUAACCUCAUUUAGGGACUCAUCUUAGAGCAUUGUAGUGGAGCAAUCAAAACAUAUACAAUACAUCCAAAAAUUCUCAUAUGGUAAAUUUUUGGUUAUUGACCAAAAAACAUCUGUAACGGGGAGAACUUAUGGUAACUUGUUGGCCUGACUCAAAUUAGUGAUGUUGUAUGUAGUAUGGCAUGGCCCAAGCAGAAAUUGGAAGUUUUAACUUCAUAAGUAAUGGUAUUGCAAUCAAUUGGAGACGUUUGAUUAAUGAUUCAGCAAAAUUUGUCAUUUUGAUUAAUGAUUCAGCAAAAUUUGUCAUUAUCACAAACAAAAUUUGUCUCCAUUUUCUUCCCUAUAGAAUAAUCUAAAAGAAAGAUAUGACCACCAAAAAAUUGUAAUUCUUCCUAAAGCUCGUUAUGAUUGACUGUAUUUGAGAUUACAAGAUUUUAAAUCUGUGAGUGAAUAUAACUCAGCUAUAUUGAAAAUCACUUCCUAAUUGAAAUUUUGCGGAGAGAACAUAGCUGAUGAGAAUACGUUAGAAAAAACAUACUCCACAUUUCAUGCAAAUAAUAUUGUCCUACAAACACAAUAUCGUGAAAAAGGUUUUAAGAAAUAUUCUGAGUUAAUACCUUGUCUUCUUGUGGUUGAGCAAAAUAAAGAACUACUAAUGAAAAAUAAUGAGUCACGUCCAACUGGCUCUACUCCAUUCCCUGAAGUGAAUGUGACAUCAUAUAACGGAAAAGAUAAAGGCUCAAGGUAUGUAAUACAUUUUAUCAUGAUGUCCAUUAUGAUAAAAUUACUUGUGUUUAUAAUUUGUUUCAUUUUUUCAAAGUUCUACUAAUCUCUUAAUUUGUUAAAAACUUCUAACAUGGUCAAUUUCAUUUAAUUUAAUUUAUGACUAAAUUGUUGUAAUUAUUUGAGUAUUUUUUUCCUAUUAUUUUAUGCUUGAAAGUUUUGUUAAGGGAUUAGUUAUGUUCAUUUGAAAGUUUGUUAAGGAACUACUUAUAUUUAUAUUAAAUUUAUAUUGUAAUCAUAGCUAGCUUUAGGAAGUAUUACGAUUUUCCGGUGAUCAUAUCUUUUUUUAGACUAUUCCAAAAGACAAGUAGAUCUUUAACGGUCAAAUAUUUAGUCUUUAGUCCCUCAUGGAGAUGAUGGCGAAGAAAUAUCAUAGCUUUGGCCUUAUCUUGACUAGAUAUUUCAUUUCCUUCAUUAAUAGUUUCACUAAGGCCUUUUGCAUCUAAGUGUAUUUCAGAAUCUAACAUCCAUGAUAAAUAGUUCUUUUCAGUGAUAUCAAGAGCCACAAAUUCAAGUUUUGCAAGGUUCAACAUUGAUGAUAUAGAUUGAUUUAAACUAACAAAAAUGCAACUCUUGGAUUAAUUUAAGUGCUCGUGUUGAUAAUGUAUUAUAAACAAAAAUAAUAGAUUAAAGAUGGAUAUUAGAAUAUGAGGAUUUUUAUUGCAUUCUAUAUUUUUCAUCAUUUUUUCAAGUAGCAUACUCCUCUCUAUAUAUAGGGAGAUUAGACUCUUCAUACUUUAAUACAUAAAUAGGAAAUGUGUUAUAAGAAGAUGAAAAGUUUAAGGAAGAUUAAAAGUUAAAGGUUAAAGAAGAUGAAAAGUGAAAGGUUAAAGGAGAUGAAAUGUGAAAUGUUGAAUAUCCACUUAAUAACAUUCAUAACACAUAGUACUUUAUAUAAACUUUAGACAUUUAAACAUUUUGGUUAAGUUAAUACCAUUAACUAGGUCAAUUCUAAAAUGGUAAGUUUAUAGUUUAACUAUUUUUAAGUUUAUAAAAAUUAAUAUAAUGAUAAAAUUACAUUUUAACUUUUAAAGAAAACACUUAUAAUUCAAUUAUAUUUCAGAAAAGACUUGGACCUUAAAUAAAAAUAUUAUGUAUAAUUUUAAAUAAUGAAAAUAAAAUUGCUUUUAUUCAAAUUUAAUACUACUUCUUGCUUUAAAGUUUAAAUGUUUUCUAAUGUUGUGAAUGAGUAUAGGAAUGAAUUUUCUCCUGAGUUGAUUUGUUUAUUUCAAAUCCGGGUUAGUGGUGCUAGGGCCAAUGGUAUUAUUAAAAAAAUCAAAUAUUCUAAUUCUUUUUGGGUCAAGGCUAAUAAGUCUGCUGGUGGAAUUUGGUUAUGCUGGAAUAAGGAUAUUCUAGUGAAUAUUUUGGAAAUUCAUUGUCAUGUGAUGCAUUUGAGGAUUUGCAAUAAGUAAGGUUCUAAUAGUUUUAUUUGUUCAAUUGUUUAUGCUAGUCCACAAUCAACAGUAAGAAGGAAGUUGUGGAAGUUGUUGGAUUCUUUGGUAAAUUAAUUAGUUGGUCCUUGGAUUCUGGCUGGAGAUUUUAACUUGAUUAUUGAUAGCUUAGAAAGGGCGAGUGGUGCUUCUAUUUCAAGAAUUGGGUGCAGAUGGUUUAGCAAGUUUUUAUUUAGAAAUGGAUUGCGAGAUUUGGGAGCUAGUGGAGCUCAAUUUACCUGGUGUCAAGGGGACUUGUCUCAGAGAUUGGACAGGGUUGUUUGUAAUUCAGAUUAGGAUUCUGUGUGUCUAAUUCUUAUGUUAAGAAUCUUCAUAGAUUGAAAUCGGAUUAUAGGUUGAUUUUAAUCACGCUCUGUCUGAAGGUGAGCAAAAGUGAUAGGCCAUUCUGUUGUCUUACUAGUUGGAUGUUUCAUGUAGCUUUUUAAUACCUAGUUAGUGAUAAUUGAAACAAUGAGAUGACGGUUGAUGAGAUUUUGGAGCAUUUCCAAGAAGCAGUUCAUGAUUCGAAUAAGCUUGUUUAUGGUAACAUUUUUGUGUAUAAAAGGAGGUUGAUUUUAGAGUUGGAAAGGGUGCAAAGAGUGUUGAAGUGGAAAAAUUCUUUAGGACUUCGCUAUCGUGAACUUGAACUUCAACGGAAAAUAAAAAAAAGUUCUAAAGCAUAAGAAGUUGUUGUGGUUUCAAAAUUUAGAUCAGUUUGGCUCAAGAAUGGUGAUAGGAAUACAAAUUACUCUUAUAGCGUACAUUGGCUAGGCAGAAAAGGAACAAGAUAGAGGGUCUUACCAUUAAGAGUGGUGAUUGGUACUUUGGUGACACAGAGUUGAAGCAGCAUGUUGUAAAUUUUUUUAGAGAACUUUACAUAGUGGAUUAUUUAGUUAGUGGUGUGUUUCCAUGCUAUGGUAAAUUUCCUUCAAUGUAGUCUAAUGAAAGGAGGAGACUCUUAAUGGUUUUUGACGAUGAGGUUUAGGGUGGAUGGUUUUCAGGGGAAGCUUUUUCAAUCAUAAUGGGAUAUUGUUGGGCCUCAGAUAUAUUCCCUAGGCAGGCAUACUUUGGGGGGUCAGCUGUUAGAUCCUAAUUUGAACAAAAAUUUGUUGGUGCUAUUGCCUAAUGUCCAAAGCCCGAAGGGAAUUUAUCAAUUUAGACCGAUAAGUUUGUGUACAGUUAUUAUGAUUAUUACAAAAACUAUAGUUAAUAGACUGAGACCACUGAUGGUUAAGCUAACUUGUUAGAACCAAGUAAGUUUUAUCUCAGCCAGGAUUAUCAUUGAUAAUGUAGUUAUGGCACAAGAAGCUGUGCAUUCUUCGAAGGAUUUUAAAGGUAGUAGAUAUUGGAUGGUUCUAAAGAUCGAUUUAGAGAAGUCUUAUGAUAGAAUCAGAUAGGAUUUUUUGAAAGACACACUGUCUAAAGUUAGGUUUCCUCUGUAUUUAGUUGAUUUGAUUUUAAACUGUCUCAUUGUCGACUCUUCAGGUUUUUUGGAAUAGUGUUGUUACAAAGCCUUCAAGCCUAUGAGGGGAAUAAGGCAGGGAGAUCCACUAUUUCCUUAUCUUUUUGUAUUUUGCAUUGAGAGACUAAGGCAUCUAAUUGGGGAGGCGGUUGAACGAGACUCUUGGAAGCCUUUGUUUCUUUCACGUAGAGGCCCGGUCGUAUAUUACUUGUUCUUUGUUGAUGAUUUAAUGCUAUUUGGUAAAGCUAAUAGGGGUCAAGCAGAUAUUGUAAAUGGUAUUUUGGACACAUUCUGUCAUUUUUCUGGUCAAAAAGUGGAUAGAGGUAAAUCACAGAUUUUUUCUCCUAAUACACUAGACAACCUUGCGGAUACUAUUUGUGUUAAGAUAGGUUUUAACCGAGUAGAGGAUCUUGUUAUCUACCUUGGAUUACCGUUGUUAUAUAAUAGAGUUACGAUGAACAAAGUAAAGAAAAAUUUAACUGGGUGAGAAGCGAGGAAAUUGUGUUUGGUUGGAUGUAUAACUCUAGCAAGGUCAAUUCUCUUAGCUACUCCAAAUCAUUUUGUGUACGAUGUGUAUCCUUAUUUUUGUAUGUAAGAGGAUUGAGAAUAUUGCUCAUAACUUCAUUUGGAAAGCUAGUUUGAGGUUAAGAAAACCCGCAUUGUUAUCUUAGGGUGAGUGUUUUCGUCUGCUAGACUCUGAGGCAUAGUUCUGAGAAACUUCCAAGAUUAGAGCAAAGUUUUCUUAUUGAAGCUUGGUUUUUAGUGCUUUCAAAUACAUAUUCCUUGUGGGUUAGAGUGAUAAAGAGUAAAUACAACGUACAGGGUUUGCUUCUAAGCUCUAUUUCCAAAAGUAACUAUUGUUUCAUUUGGAGGUCUUUAAUGAAGUUCUGGCCAGAAAUCAUUGCUAAUGUCUACUGGUUCGUUGGAGAUGGUCGUCUAAUAAACUUUUGGAAUGAUUUGUGGCUUAAGCAAGUGGGUUCUCUCCGUGAUUCCUAUAUAGGUCCUGGACAGCCGGAUGGCACUUUGUGAGUUUACAACAUGGUAUUUAAGAAUGGAAGCUAAGACUAGAGUCAUCUUAGUGAUGUUGUAUCAGGUCAUAUUAUCUUGCAAAUUUCAGCCAUAAUGUCACCGUCACUUGAAGCGGGUUAGGAUUGCCUAGCUUGGAAAUAGAUGAAAAGAGAUGUGUUUUCUUUUGCCAAAACUUAUAGGAAGUUGGUCUAUGUUGAAAACAUUGUUUCUCCUAUUGUUUAGAGUUUGAUAUGGAAAGUGAGGGCACCUCAGAGGGUAAGAGUUCUCUUGUGGAUUUUUUGGAAGAAUAGGUUGCUGACAAAUUGUAAAAGAGUGCGAAGACAUAUAACUAGCGAUGGUGAUUGUCCUUGAUGUAGUAGUGUUUUGGAAACGGAGGUCUAUGCUAUUUGGGAUUGCGCUUUUUCUAGAGUUGUAUGGCUUGCUGUGGUUCCAAUGUGAGUUUAUAAUGUUUUUUUAUCUCUAUCAUUUAAUGAAUGGUUCUUAUGGAAUUUACAUAAUAAAGGGAGUUGUAGUAAUGCUGAUAUUGAUUGGCAAACUCUGUUCUCAAAUUCAUGUUGGUUUCUUUGGAAAAACAAAAAUUCAUUUGUUUUUUCUAACAGUAAUAGUUGUGUUCCAACCCUUGUGGAUACAUGUUAUACGUGGGCAAGGAGUUAUGCAGAGAUGAAUUUGAAAUUGGAUCAUCCUAGAUCUAUGUGCUCUUUAUUGAAUUGGUCUCGUCCAACGAGGGAUUGGAUAAAGCUUAAUAAGAAUGGGGCAGUGUCACAUAAUGGACUUCAUGCGUCCAUUGGAAGUGUACUUUAAGAUUCAAAUGUAGAAUGGUUGUGUGGUUACUCGAUGUCAUUGGGUAAGGACUCCGUUUUCAAAGUUGAAGCCAGAGCGAAGGUGGAAAGUCUUUUUAUAACUUGGGGAAAGGGGUUCAAGAGGAUUGAGGUGGAAUGUGAUAAUGCUUUGUUAAUAGAAUUGUUGUUAGCAGCUUGUGGGGCUAAUAGUAGCUUGGUAGAGUUAAGGCUGUUGCAUCAACUCUUGUGUAGGAAGUAGGAUGCAAGAGCAUGCCACAUCUCAAGGGAACAUAAUGAGAUUGCAGAUCAUAUGACUAAAUGUGCUGCAAUUGGUAAUCAAUCUUAUAGUUGUUUGAAGAACCUUCAGUUUGGGUACAAGAUUUAUUUAUUGUUGAUCACACUGUAUCAUUACCUACAUAAUGUUAACACGUUGAUGUAACCACUUUAUGCUAUUUCUUUUUACCAAAGAAAAAUGUUUAAAUGUUUUCAAGAAUCAUUUUAAUUCAAAAGAAUACAAACAAAAAUAGAAACAUGGAAUAUUGAACAUGCACCAAAUUAUGUAACCUCUUAAAAGAAAAGAAUAUAUUACAAAUUUUGCCUAAAUAUUUUUAAAUUGCCAAUGAUAAUCGUAUGCAAAUUUUAAUGGCGUAUUAAGACAUUUAAUAUAUGUUGUAAAGUAUAAAUAAAAGAAAUAGUAGAAUAAUGCAUAAAUUUUUUUUAUAUACAAUAAGGAAACGUGAUGAACUAUGUCUCACUUAAAUUGCAAUAUUUAAUUGUUUUUGUUUUUGUUAGUUUUUUAAACCGUACGUAUAGAAAGUCAUUAUCCAAACAUAAUCAAUAUGAAAUAAAAGUUCAUUCGAUGGUUUUUUUUUUAAUUACAAAUUAAUGAUAAUUCAUGUAUCACUUUUCUUUUUUUUAAAAAUAAAAUACAACAAUUGCAAAUCCGAAUUUUUACAAAUGAAAUUUUCUUUUGCUAGCAAAAAUAAAACACCAAUUAUAUUAAAUUAAUUUAGUAAUACCAUAUCUAAUAAUUUACUCUACACGAAUUAAAGUGCCUUGUAUUAUUAUUUGAUAUUUUAUGAAAAUCAAACUGAUUUAUGAUUUUUAUGACCAAUCUAAAUGUAUUGUUAAAUAGAAUGUAUAAUUGGUUAAGAUAUCAAUUCAAGCUAUAAAAUGAUAUAAACAUGUUGACUUAUAAUAUGUGCUAGAUUAAAAAACAGAAAAAGAAAUACAAAGAGGUCGAAUUUAUCAACCUUUUACAUAAAAGAAGAAAACAAAUAAAUUAAAAUCAAUUCGCAAUUUAACUUAAUUUAUUAAUUCAAUUGCUCAAUGAAUUACAUCUUCAACCGGCACAUAGGUUCAAAGUGGAAUUGGAUCGAUGAGCAAUGAAGUGAUCCCACCUUUAGCAGCUUUGCCAACAUGUGUAUAACCAUCUCCUUCUCUGUAAAGCACAUCCAUCACUCUUGCAAGGUUGAGACUUCUAUUUAGAACAGGUACUGGCAUUUCUGUUGGUUUCAGGAACUCUUCGUUAAUGUCCUUCCAGGAGCUUUCUAUAUGCUUGUUGAAUUCGUCAUAUGCCUCUUGUGCCGUUACGCCAUAUUGUUCCAUGUAGCACUCGAUGGCUGAGCAAUCAUCUUCUCUCCGAUGCUUGAACUUGUGUUCAGCGAUGUCAUCCAUGAACCUGCAAAUUAUUGUGGAAGCUGUGAUGAUCUUAGGGUCAUUGGUUGCCCAUUCAAAUGUCUCUGGAGUUAUAACAUCUCCCAUGCCCACAAAAGCUGUAAUAGCAAGCAUGCCAUAGCCCGAGGUUGGCAAUGCAUUAUCUCUAAACUCCUCAAAUGUUGGUUUGUAGUUUUGAUGGGUCCAUUUGGCUUCCAAAAGGUAAGCUUGAGCAAGUCGUAUCAUCUGC
RNAcentral lists this long non-coding RNA (23248 nucleotides) under Gossypium barbadense (sea-island cotton). RNAcentral describes it as "long non-coding RNA (GBAR_LNC000955)". Lineage: Eukaryota; Viridiplantae; Streptophyta; Magnoliopsida; Malvales; Malvaceae. The record is from RNAcentral.